Long non-coding RNA from Nerophis ophidion (straightnose pipefish), 915 nucleotides. RefSeq lists it as uncharacterized. The record is from RefSeq and is a predicted model, not a curated record. The transcript has 3 exons. Lineage: Eukaryota; Metazoa; Chordata; Actinopteri; Syngnathiformes; Syngnathidae.
UGUGUGUGUGUGUGUGUGUGUGUGUGUGUGUUGUAUUUCUACCCUUCUUGAGACAUCAACAAGGAAAAGUACCCUCCAUAUGAGGACCGGUGAACAAGUUAGGACCGAAAUCGUGGUCCCAAUAAGGAAAACUAUUGCGUAGAAAAUGGCUCAUUUUCAUGACGGGGGGAAGGGGUGUCGCAGCUUGUUGCGGGGUUUGUUCUCACAGGAUGCAAACAGACUUCUCUGGACCAGGUGUGAAGUGUGGUCCAACCUAAUCCUGGUUUCCCCUUCAAAAGAACCUCAUUCCAGAGCGGUGAAGACUUUAGAAGACUUCUGCGUCUCCCUGAGGUAAAAGGAUUUCUUGUGUUGGACUCUUGCCUUGCUCAGUGUGCCCUGGCUCUUUCACCCGCUGACCUCUGAGGAACCUAUUUUGUCCAGAUUACAUGGUGUGAGUUUCUGCCCCAUCGCCCUUAGUUAUCCCUUUUGUCUAAUAAAAUGUUUACAUUUUUUUGUAAUCCCACCUUGUCUCCUGUCUCUGCAUCCUGGGGUCACCCACACUUGACCAAUUCAUAACACCAUUAGUAACAUAACACCUGUUCCAAAGCAAAUCCAAUGGCUCCCCAAUAAAUAUCGCAUCCACUUGGACAGACCUGGGCAAAUUACGUCCCGGGGGCCACAUGUGGCCCGUUAAGCUUUUCAAUCCGGCCUGCCGGACAUUCCCAGAUAAUUAUUUUUAUUUCUUUAAGAUGGAAAGUGUAGCUGCCAUUAUGAUGUGCAGUGAUGGUUUUCUAAUGACUGUAAGUCUUCAACUAUACUAAGUAUUUCAAUAGUUGGAAUCUGCACUUUUGCGUGAGAUUUUAUCCACUAGUGUUGUCCUGAUACCAAUAUUAUGUUGAUACUUUUUCUGAAUAAAGAUAACCAGAACAAAUUGUA